AUGGAGCUUUAGACACCAAAGAAGAUCCUGUCAAGUAACCCCUCACAAGGGCCUGAACUAAUGGAAUACUUCCCUAAUGUCUUUGGUUGGGGCGACCGCGGGGAAACAAAAAACCCCCACGUGGAAAGGGAGCACCCCCUCCUACAACUAAGAGCCGCAGCUCUAAUUAACAGAAUAUCUGACCAAUAAGAUCCGGCAAUGCCGAUCAACGGACCG
This 216-nucleotide ribosomal RNA is filed under the name Sebastes entomelas (widow rockfish). RNAcentral's name for it is "partial 16S ribosomal RNA". The record is from RNAcentral. Lineage: Eukaryota; Metazoa; Chordata; Actinopteri; Perciformes; Sebastidae.